AUUCUGCCUCAAACAGCGUGGUAGGGGGCGGUCUGAAAACCAUCACUCUACUCCCCGAGCACUCACCUUUCCCCUUUGCUGGAUGACAACCCAAGAUGCAAAGGACAGCUCCACAGAUAACAGGGGGCAGGGGGAACGAGGAGACCUUGGAAACCUGACCUGAAGUCUGGGUUUUAUUCAAACUCUGUAGAACUUGGAGUCUCUGGAUCUCUUGCUCCUUGGUUUCUUCAUCUGUAAAAUGGGUCCACGGUAUCUACCCGCUGGGCCUCGCAGGGCUGCUUUGGGAUGUGGAAAUGCUUCGUAACGGGAGAAGGAAACCACCCACAUGGCCAGAUUACGGAGGCUUGCUUACGCUUUGAUCUGUCUGCUCUGCCGGGCUUGCAGCCCAAAUGUGGUCUUAAUUAAUAUCGGAUUUUUGAGAAGCUAUCUGAGAGUUGAAUACUCUCCCAGGUGUGCGUAUCACUCCUCCCCCUCUCCUCCCACAAGCGCCAAGUAUUCCCUAACUGUUUAUUUCGUCCUGGGAGGUAAGAAGGCGAGGUGUGAAGCUGGGGGCUAGAGUGAAUUGCUCAAGGUCACGCGGCUUAUAAUUAACAGAACUGAGGCUAGAACCAGUUCCUUCUCCCAGAUGGGGGCCCUCCAGCAUGUCAGUGACCGACUAACCACCCUGAAAUGCAGCUGCCACCUGUGAGCGACAGCCUCAGUCUGUCUCGGCGUUCGUUGGAGUACUUCCCUCGGACUAAAUAAGGUCAGCCCGUUCUUCAAAGUACAGGCGACAGACCUGAGCAAAAUCUGUACGAGAAUGAGGUGAUGUCGCCGGAAUUGUCACUGCACCAGGAAAAACCGAUCUAGUUACCAAAGCGGGACCCCCCUUUUUUUCCUACUGGCAACAGGAAAAGCCCCAUGUGGGCCCCUGAGAUGCUUUUUCAUUUCAUUUACCACAUCCUGGGUUUGUGCUAGUCAAAUCUGCUAAACUGAUACGAUCAAAAAAGAAGAAAACACAGGUUUCACGGCCAGACCUGAGUGUUUCCUGAUCGCCAUGGCAACGCGCAGGUGUACACAUUGUGGUUUCUUUCUUUCUCUCUUCCCGGAGACUCGCUCACCAAAAACCACUUGACCUUCCAGAGAUGUAUAGUGAGAUGACGGUCCUGAGGCACACACUGUCCUUUGCUGGAAAGACUCUGUUGGAUCCAGGGUUGGGUGGGAACGUAAACAGGCUUCCUCCACCACCCCCCCCACCCCCCCCCCGGCUUCCCCUGUUCCCAUCACCCCACGAGGAGGCAGGGGUGGGGUCUUCCUUCAGACUGGGGAAACAACCCAAGAGCUCCAUUGGGUCAGUCAGGGUGGUGGCUGAGAGAUCCUUUUGGACUCUCCUCGGACAGAGCGGAUGUAAUGGGCCCCUGUCGGUUCAGUGUUGGCUGCCAUGAUGGGCUCGAUGUUCCCAUGGACAAGAGGCUGAAAGGUCAGGGGGUACAGCCAGGCGCCAAGAAGUUGGGGUGCGUUUCCUUUCUGAGUGCCAAGAGGUGCACAGCUCAGUUGAAAGCAACCCAGGACACAUUCUGGAGGAAAUUCUCUGGGUAUGAUGGUGUAUGACUAUUUUCUCUGCUCAUUAAACCCUCACCCACCUCCGGGGCAAUUCCGGGAGAGACUGAGUCACCCAAGACUCAUGGUCUGCCCUGGGCGGCCAAAGGCGAUUCGGCCACUGAGUGUGAUUUUGGCCUCAUUCAGAAAUGGAUCCUGAACAAUAGAUCCUUUCACCAGGCGCCCAUCACAUGGGCGUCAGGGGAUGGGGGAGAGUGACGUGGGGGCAACAGGAAGUCUGCCAGCUUUCUGGCCUGGCGGGCCUGAGUGGCGGCAGGGGCUCUCACAGCUAGGAGAGUCCUGGAUGGAAACUCGUGGGCUUUGAAGACAUCAAACCGUCAAAGAAAUGAAGAACAGAAUGGUUUCUUCGUGUCCCAUUAAGACAGUGGGUUGUGGCUUCAUUGGGAACAGCUUGCUCAGGCCUCUUAUAAAACCAAUUCAGGAGUAAGAGCACUGGAGUAGGAGUCAGGAAUCUAGCAGCUAUGGACCCCGGGGGCCCGCUUUUCUCAAAGCUGGCUGGGAGACCCUGCUCAGCCAUUCUGGAUUUUGUUUGCUCUUUGUGUCUCAAGAGAAUUUGGUGAGAAGCUGUCUGUUGCCCCACCUGGCUUUAAACAUAGAUGAUCCAAUGAGCCAUAAUGCUUUCCAAAAAAAAUUGGCCUUUUCUAGCCCUGCUUCUAUCAGAGUCAGUUCAGUUGGGUUUGUGAGUUGUGUCAUCUUUUUUUUAGACACGAGCUCAGCCAAUCAGAGGAUAGAAACAGAAUCCUGGCUCUUUCAUGAUAAACACUCUGAAAAUGCAGCUGCCACUGCCCGGAGGCUUGCAUGCCACUUAUACUCCCAGGAGCUCCGUGGAAGUGGCCGCCAUCGGCCUGCAGGGCCAUGCUCCUGCUUGAUUGGCCUGGCAUUUUCGUUUGGUCGGUUGAGAUUUCUGGGCUGGGCAGAAGACAUCCUCAAAAUGUUACCAGGACAGCCUGUGGUCCGGUGUCCCAGCCCUGGGCCAACCCUGAGUCCCAAGACCCUCUCUUCAUUUGCCCCGCCUGGUGGGCCAGAGGCUGUAAAAGGCAAGGGAAGCCUGAGGCUAUGGCUCGGGUUGGAUUCUCAGCUCCCAGGGGUUUCAUGGGGCAAGCACGGGUAGAAUCAGAAAGAGGUGAGUGGCCCACUGUUGGGGAAAUCCAGUGAACACGGAGACCUCCGAAUCUUCUCCCCGGGGAGAGCGUGGACAUUCCAUUAGGGAGGGCUUUCCCGGAAGCUUUAUCGGGUUCUUGAGCCAAGGGCCCUGAAUCAAGGGACCUCUGAUCUUAUAAUAAUAUUCCAUAAGCUCAAAUUCCUCUUUCCAGAGCUCUCUUUUAGGGCUCACCUCUCCGCACUUUAAAAACCACACAGAAGACAGGUGGCUUCCUGUAGUCAGAGCAUCUGGCCCCUGCACAGGGUGCCAGUCACACCUCAGUGUAAUCAACUGGACCGCCCAGUCUGAAACCAAGCCCCUGCUUAUGAGCUCCGGUUACUCGCGUCUUCUCAAUGGAUCAGUUCCCUCCUGCCUAAAAUGGGGAUAAUGAUGGUGCCAACCACAUAGGAUUGUGGCGAGAAUUACAUGAAUUCUGAGGUGCAAAUGCUGAAAACCUCGCACGCCGGCCCGCUGCUGGCAGUUCUCUGCAUGGCCGUGGGAACUGCACAAGGCAUCGGGUCCCAGCAACUGGCCCUAUUCCCGACUUCAAGAAAAAGCAACUUCCCCAGACACAUAGCCAACUCUGGGACCAAAUCAGUAGAAAAAAAUCCUCUUCUGCCUUUGGUUUGUAGAACCAAGAGUCUCUGGGCGCAGGAUGACUGUGUGUCGCCUUCACCUGGGACACAGAAGGGCCGUCACCCUCUCUCGGGAGACCUGACCUCAGAACUGGCCCUAUGACAAGGAUGCCCAUUGUAGACAAAACUUAGACAGAGCCAGCUCCAAAACUGAAAGUCGGUCUCUUGAAACAUUUGCUUCUGGGGAAAACAGCAAAGGUUCUCAGAAGCAGAUGCUUCGGGUUAAAGACAUUUUAAGUGUCCAACAGGGAAUUCUCAACAGGGCCCAGCUGGUGAGUCUCGAGAUGUCAUGUGGGGGAUGGACUUGAGAGCUCUUCGUUUUUGCACCUCACAAGUCUCCUUGUCCUGAGUGGUGUUGAGGGUAGGACAGAGUAUCCACUCAUUCAUUCAUUCAUUCAUUCAUUUGUUCAACAUGUGCCCACUCUGUGCGGUGUUGUGCUGGGUACUGGGGACACAGUGAUGAGGGAGAGCUACAGUCCCUACUGUCAUAAAGAAGUUCCAAAAUUCCAGCAUCUUGGAAUCUCUCGUUACUGAAGGGACCCUGAAGAUAAUAGUUUCUUGUUAUUCUUUACCUGUUGAUGUCAUAUAGACUUCUCUGAGAAACUAAUGGAACCUAGGGAUGCUGUCCCACCCAAAACCCUCCAUACACACACACACACACACACACACACACACACACACAUGCACAUACCUGCACACACAGAUACAUAUACACACAUAGGCUUGCACACGAUUUCGCAGGUUUAUAGACACUCCCCCCCCCCCCGCCCCCAAAGACCAGCUGGUGAAUCUGGAUGGAAAACCUCUUGUCACUCAGCUCUAUCGCUGGUCAGCUGUGUGACCACCCCGAUUCCCACUCGCCCCUCAGGAAGUGGAUGUGUGGAGGACAGCAAGCUAGGGAAACAUUAUACAAUGCUCGACUCAGCAGAUGGGGUGAUGUGUCUACCACUUGGGGAGAGACUGGGGCAAACCAAGAAGCUAUUCGUCUCCAGCCUUGCCAUUUCAUUUGGCAAGGUUUUGUUUGACAUGUGUUGGGCCGAUUUUACUAGACAGACCUAUUUUCCUUGAUGUGUGGCUUAGUGGAAAAUAUAGGUAAGAUUAAUGGUGUUAGGGGUCAGCUAGGAUUUAUGCCAAGAAUGGAUGUAUCCCAGAACCCUGCCUCAUUGGCAGUAUAGCACAGAGGUCGGAUCCCUGCCUUUCUCACCUGGAUGACCGGGGGCAAGUUAUUGAACCUAUUUGUGCCUCAGUUUCCUUGUCUCUAAAACGGGGUUAGCAAUAGUGCCUCCUUCAUAGCAUUUUUGCGAGAAUUAAAUUGGCUGAAGUAGAUAAGCCCUUAAUAGGCAUGACAUACAAUUGAUUCUAAUUAAGUCCAAACACCGUAUCAAACCCUGAAGGGUUGGGAUCUUCAACCCGUCAAGGAGAAGACUGAGUGUCAGAGAGGAGAAGGAACUACCUAGCCUUAUAACCUGGAAUGAGUGACCAUGUCAGGAUUUGAACCCAGCUGUGGGAGGGUCCUCAAUAAGCUGAACUACCAACCCGCAUGUGAGUCUGGUGCCAGGGAGUACGUUAGACAAGAAGGGCACUCCUACCUCUUCCCCUGUGGCAACGAGAUCCCUCUCCAUGACUCCGUGACCUCUCUGACCCUCCUAUAGUAACGAGGGUUCUGACGGCCCGGGUGGCAUUUCUCCCUCCAGAGAGACUCCUCCCUGAAUCUGGAAGUGGCCUUGAACAGUAACCGUUGCCUGUUGGGUCUCUCAGAGGGAGGGACUUGGGACAGUUUACUUAUUACAUGACACAGGAAAUUUAUUGGAGACCAGAGGCCUCAACGGAAAACAUUCUUGACUUAUUUUCAGUUGGAAACGUUUGAGAGAUAAAAUUGGCCACUCAGUGUUAGCCUUUUGAGUCACAACAGAUCCCUAAUCACAGAAGUCUCUGUUUUUCGGGAGAGAUGCACACACAUCUGGGAAGGGCUGCUUCUCUGCAGGGGUUCGUGUUUCUGGUGUGGGUUAAAUGCCACUGCCGCCGAUGCUGGAGCCCCAUCGGGUGACCUGUGGUCCAUGGCUACUCACACCUCAGCCUUGCUCUUAACUUCACUUAAACCUUGGAAAUAUUCUCAGCUAUGCACUGGGAGUCGUAGUUGGGAGGUCAUAACAAGUUACCUAAAUCAGGGUAGGGAGUAGUAGCCUGGUGAUUAAGUCGAUAGGUGCGCGGUACCAGACUAGUUGGAUUUGAAUCCCAGCUGCAUCAUCACUAGCUCUGUGAACCUGGCCAUGUUUCCUCCCUUCUCUGUACCUCAGCUUCUGUAUCUGGAAAGUGGGGAUAAUAAUAUCACCUACCUCGUAGGGUUGGGGGUUCUCUUUGUUUGUUUUUUUAAUCUUUUUUAACAUUCAUUUAUUAUUGAGAGACAGAGCGUGAGCAGGGGAGGGGCAGAGGGAGAGGCCGACAACAGAAUCUGAAGCAGGCUCCAGGCUCCGAGCAAGCGGUCAGCACAGAGCCCGACGCGGGGGCUCGAACCCACAAACCACGAGAUCGUGACCUGAGCCGAAGUCGGACGCUCGACCGACGGAGCCACCCAGGCGCCCCUUGUAGGGCUGUUUUAAGGACAAAAUGAGUUCGUGCUCGUAAAGUGUUUAGAGGAGCGUCUGGCAUAUGUCUAAGUGCACAAUCCAUGUUUGCUACUGUCCUUGCUGUCGGUAUUAUCAGUAUCCUUUGGAGUUAUAAUUUGGGUUUGCAUAAGUGUUAAGGAAGCCUGUCGGAAAGUCUUCAUCAAUCAUUAAAGGAUACACAGCCCUGACAGCUUAGUCCCUUUAAGGCAAGACGGACCCAGAGGGGAAGAACUAUAAGCCCUCAUGGGGAUAGUUGGCUUGAAGUGAAGUUUCGGGCACCGUCUCUGCAAUCCCUAGGUGGCUAAAAUCCAUCAGGAUUAGCAGCUGGACCUUGUCUGUUAGAUUAAGGUAAAUGGAAGCCGUGGAACUUCCAGUCUGCACAGAAUUUCUUCUCUCGGCAGCCCUUUGCUGAUCCCUACUGUGUGGCAGGCCCGUGAACGCCUCCCAGUCAAGGACCACUGAAGGCUGAGUUUACCUGUUUCUUCCUGUCUUGGCUGGAAGGACAGACGCACAAAACCACCUGCACCUCCUGCGCUCCGCCGUGCGGACACACACAGCGCAUGCGUGUGUUGUCUGGAAGGUCGGGUCGGCAGCCGCAUGCGGAACUCAAGGCAUUUUAUUCAAAAGUCUCAGUUCCUUUUGCAUUUGCAUGUUCUGGAUGCCAGGUGGCAAACUAGAAUUAAUUUUAAUACAACAGAAACUGCCAUUCAGCUCCAAACCACCGUCCUUGGUGGUUUAUUUUUAACCCGGGAGUGACACGGGCCACCUGGCCAAGUGCUGCCAGGCAGUCGCCCCUCCUGCCGUCUGCUGAAGCCUCCCCCAGGAGCCUCACCUCCAAGGAGUCGGUUGGGAGGCUGUGUUUUACUUUUGUAGGCUGCCGGAAGGGCUGUCGCCCCAGCUUCCCCGGUGCGAACGUUGGCUGACAAAGGCCAAAGCUGAAAAUGUCAGUGAGAACAAACAAUAUUUCAAAAGGGCCUUGUGCAUUUCCCUCCUCUGUCUUGCCUCAUCAGCCAAGUGUUGUGCGAGUGGCUCCAGAAGGACACCAGUCGACCCAGGAAGAAAUUAAUCACACAAAAACACAUUUCUCCAGUCCACUUAGUUCUGAUGCUAUUAAGCAGCACCUACGUGCUAAUGAUACAGAGAGAGAGAGAGAGAGAGAGAGAGAGAAGCAAUUGAUAUCGGUGGAUGUCUUUUCAAAGCUCCAUUUCUUGUUUCUUCUUUUAGUAUUUUCAGGCUCAGGAAAGCUCAUACAGAAAUGUUAUGGUUCCAGACACUGUUCGCCGGUGGUUAGCACCUGCUUCCUGCUCAGAAAGGAGAAAGCGCUUCCUGUCCAUCCAGCUCAGUAACACUGAUCUAUCUUAGUCCUUACGUAGUCGUCGUUUAGGCGUGCCUCUCCCCCUUAGAGCGCAGAUUCACUCUAGUGACACGAAGGAAUCCCAGGGCACACAGCGAAGCGGUUUGGAGGGUGGGUUUGGGUGACACAGACCUGAGCUGGGACUCCGGCCCUGCCGUGUAAUAGCUGGGCGACUUUGGGAAGGUGUUUCCAUUUCCUGAGCUUCGGUUUCUUCGCCUAUAAACACUACAGACAUGCAUACAAUUCACCUCUCGGGGUCUGCGGAAGAUAAUGUAACACGGAACCCCAAAGGUGCUGGGGGCGCGGGGGGACUCUGCAGGAACAGGCCUCCCCGCCCCGCCCCCCACCCCGACCCCGGGCUACUGGCUCAGAACUGCAGACCAAAGCAACUGAGAUUCAGGAAGUCAGCUACAGGCUCCAGACAGAAAUGCCUGCUUCCUGGGGCCACUUACGUCUCUGAGCCUCAACUUUCUCAUGAAUGAACGUGCAGAAUCUUCUGACCACCUCUGGAGCAGGCCAAGUGAGAGAUGGCGUCUGAGUUAAAGUCAGUGUUGUCUGAAGCCACACCUGGCCCCUGACUAACGAUGUGGUGCCUGGCCUGGCACGCGGGCCACCAUGCAGUAGGCCCAGAGGAAGGUAAGCUUCCUCAGGAAAGGACAGCCCUCGAGGCUCAAGGAAGUACGCUUCACCAGGACAGCUACAAUGACUUAACCUUUCCGCGUUGGAGUUUCCUAAAGUGCAGACCGGGGAUAAUAACAGUCCUAGAAAAAUAAUGAGUUUUCUCCUAAGGGGAUAGAAGCCUUCUGAGAUAGUUACACAGGAUCGGGUAGAAUCAGAUAACUUUUCAACUCCUUCUUGAGAUUUUAGGUUCACGUCUGCCAAAUGCACAGAAGCUCUUGGGUUAAAUAAUUCUUUAAGCAGCUGGUAGCCAUUGGGCCUCUAUUUUGAAUGCCACUGACUCUUGGGAGCCAGCAACUGAUCUUGGCCUUAUCUGUCAACAUGUUGAAAGUGUGUUUCUUAGGAAAUUUUAGUGAGUCAUUUAUUCAUUCAGUAAAUAUUGGUUGAACAUCUACUCUCUGGCACACCGUUGUGAGAAUUAGAGAAACACUAUAAACAGGGAAAAGGCCUUGCUUUUUUUGGAGCCUCCAUCACAGGAAGGGUGGAUGGAUAAUAAUUAAAUGCAAAAAUAAAUAAACAAGUUGCUGUGGAGGCACAAAAGCAGGGUGAGUGAGGGAGACACCGUGGGCUGGAUGACAGUGUUGAGGGAAGUGAGGGGGUGACGUGAAGCCAAACCAAAAAUGCCAUGAUCUAAGGACAGAACAUUCCAGACAGAGGGGGUGGCAGAUAAAAGUAUUCUAAGGUGGCAAAGGGCUCAGUUCCAAAGGAACUGAAGGCAAGCCUUAUGGCUGGAGCAGAGUGAGCUACAAAAGGUUAGAGAGGGAGACAGGAGCCAGCUCGUGUAGGUCUUAUCAGCCAUGAUAAGGACAUUUAUUCUGGGUACGACCAGAAGCCAUCGAGGUUGUUAAGUUAUGGGAACAAUGAAUAUCACAUGAUUGGGGGGAAAUGCUCAUAGUAUGAGAUUAAGUGGAAAAAAAGACCAUCAAAUCAAAAACUGUAUAUUUAGUACCAUUUUUACUAUGUAAGUACAUAAGUAGACACACCCACAUGAGUGCACACACACACACACACACACACUCAGAAAACUGAAAGAAGAUACAGCAAAAUAUUUAAAGUGUUGGCGAUAGUUGGUGGCCUUGCUUUUCCUUCCUUACUUCCCUGAAUUUUGUCGGGUUUCUACAAGUUAUAUGACUUUCAUAAUCAGAAAUAAAUCCUGUGCUUUUUAAAAACUUGGUUGUAAAGCAAUUGAUGGAGAGAAAGUAGAGUGACCCUGCUUUACUGUGUCUGAUCUCAGCGUUGAGCUGAACGUGUGGGGCUUUGGAAGGCCAUGUGAAUGUGGAAGACUCUGGCCAGUAGAGGUUUUUUAAGUGAGUCUUUUUUUUAAAGUUUAUUUAUUUUGAGAGCGAGAGCGAGAGAGAGAGAGAGAGAGAGAGAGAGAGAACCCCAAGCAGGCUCCACACCUUCA
Leopardus geoffroyi (Geoffroy's cat) is the source of this 9418-nucleotide long non-coding RNA. RefSeq lists it as uncharacterized. The record is from RefSeq and is a predicted model, not a curated record. NCBI's taxonomy places the organism in Eukaryota, Metazoa, Chordata, Mammalia, Carnivora, Felidae. The transcript is spliced from 3 exons.